GAAGGUGGCAAGCGUUGUUCGGAUUUACUGGGCGUACAGCGAGCGUAGGCGGUUCGGUAAGCCCUCUGUGAAAUCUCCAGGCUUAACCUGGAACAGUCGGAGGGGACUGCUGGGCUAGAGGACGGGAGAGGAGCGCGGAAUUCCCGGUGUAGCGGUGAAAUGCGUAGAGAUCGGGAGGAAGGCCGGUGGCGAAGGCGGCGCUCUGGAACGUUUCUGACGCUGAGGCUCGAAAGCGUGGGGAGCAAACAGGAUUAGAUACCCUGGUAGUCCACGCCUUGAACUAUGAAUACUAAGUGUCGGCGGGUUACCGCCGGUGCCGCAGCUAACGCAUUAAGUAUUCCGCCUGGGAAGUACGGCCGCAAGGUG
This 366-nucleotide ribosomal RNA is filed under the name uncultured bacterium. RNAcentral's name for it is "bacterial SSU rRNA". It matches the Rfam family "Bacterial small subunit ribosomal RNA", at positions 527 to 895 of the family's 1533-position model. The record is from RNAcentral.